Pelobates fuscus (common spadefoot toad) is the source of this 378-nucleotide long non-coding RNA. RefSeq lists it as uncharacterized. The transcript is spliced from 3 exons. NCBI's taxonomy places the organism in Eukaryota, Metazoa, Chordata, Amphibia, Anura, Pelobatidae. The record is from RefSeq and is a predicted model, not a curated record.
CAAUUUCUGCCGCAGGAAUUUUAUUGCUCUGAAGCCUGAUGUUUCUGCUUGACUGAUCAUGCCAUUUUGGAACCUGAACUCUUCAUUAAAAGCCGAGUUGGCUUGAGAACACUCAAAUCAUGACAAUCAAAGGUUGUCAAGGUUCCGCACUCCUGCGUUAAUAAAUACAGAUCUCUUCUGUUCCAGUAAUAUACACAGACAUUUUCUGGACCCAAAACUGCCACAUUUUAUCUUUUCGCCAAAGCCAAAAGUCUGUUUUCUAUUCUGCUAUGUUUGACAAGAUCCAGACACGGAUAUUUCUCCAGCACAAACUGAGUCUCACAUCCAACCAACGUGCUUAUGGGAGCUAUACCUGCAUCAUUUUCUCGAAAAGGGUGA